GAGCCUGUAGUCUAGUGGCUAAGGUACAUGUCUCUGACCCCUGAGGUUGGGGGUUCAAGCCCGGUCCAGACUUA
Albula goreensis is the source of this 74-nucleotide non-coding RNA. Lineage: Eukaryota; Metazoa; Chordata; Actinopteri; Albuliformes; Albulidae. The record is from the annotation of a GenBank genome assembly.